Molecule: unclassified non-coding RNA, 23 nt
Filed under: Cyanidioschyzon merolae strain 10D
Lineage: Eukaryota; Rhodophyta; Bangiophyceae; Cyanidiales; Cyanidiaceae
Description: intervening sequence
Source: RNAcentral
CAGGUGCCGCUGCCCAGCGGCGA